UAAAAGUAAUCUCUACAGGAAAUUUUGUGCACCAAAAUUUAUGUUUAUUUACAGCUAUUUUAUUUGUGAUAUAAAUUUGUUUCAAUUCUGCGUGCAAAAUGCAUUUUUAGUGUCAUGCAACAUAAAUAUGUGAAUAAUAAAAAAAUGGAAUGUUCAUAAACAUGAAUGUGGUUGGUCAGAUUAUUGAUGUUAUGAUUGCAGCAAAAAAAUGUUUAUAUACAAUUGGAACAGGACACUGUGUGCAGGAAAUAAAAUACCCAAGUAUAUUUUGUGACAAUGAAAACAACUGUGAUGAAUAUGACACCUGAAACAAGAAUAAAAUGAAAAUAAUAAUAGCAGAAUUAAUAAUAAUUUGAUAAUAAGUUGACAGUGGAUGGAUUAUUCUGUAAAUUAAAAGCCUGAAAAUUUCCGGCAUUUUGCAUUUUGUGCUUGAUGGAAGAUCUAGAGAUGUAUCUUAAUAUAACAGCAUGAUAUUAUCAAGAUUUUGACUGUUAAUAUUGUCAUGGCAACGAUUCUUCAACGUUUACGUAGGCGGUCACUACAGGCCGAGCCCGAGCAGGACUAUCUACUCUGGAACCAGACAGCCAUGUUGUCGUGUUGGAAGAAUGUCCACGGUCGAGAGCACGAGCUUGGUUUGAGCAAACUGGAACGGUCCAUCUCAGAAAUACUCUUGAAAAAGCUUGCAGUUGAAUCUACAGAUGUUAGCAACAAAGUUUCAUGGGCCAAUGCAGCCAAUGUAGUGAAUGGUAUUGAAGAUCAAAAAGACAGAAGUGGACAUCAAAACUCUGUUAGAAAAGUCUCAUGUGGGUGCAAAGGGAUGGAAACUGAAAAAAACCCUUCCUGGCAUAAUUUUAAUUGUGUAAAUUAUCGUGAGAAUGUGAAUGUAAAUGAGUCGAGCAAGUCUGAACAGACCGAAAAAUACUUGGUGGCUGACAUACAUCAAUUUAAUACCAGACUUGAAUGUCUGACUUGUAAGAGACGAGGGAAUAGUGUGCGCUUGUUCCAAGAGGUUACAAACAUAAUGUCCAGUAAUGCAAACAACAAUAAUAAUGUGAAACACAAAGACUAUCAUAUAGCAGUAAAAGAGACUGUGAUAAAUGACACUGUUGUUACUAAAAAGCCAGCCUAUAGGCAGUCAUCAUUCCCAGAAACUUUGAUAGCCAGAAAACUUCUGAAAUCAGAUAUUAAAAGGAAUUCCCUACCAGUGACCAUGCAUACUGAAAAAGAAACUGUGGCAGUUGAUUUGUUGCCAAGGAAACCUGUCGUUGAAAAGGCCCAAGAUGUACUGGACACGGUGCCGGAGCUGUUCCAAGGUAUCCGCAAGGCAACGCAGAGGGAGAUGGAGCCCAAAGACCCGGAGCCCGCAAAGGCCUGCUAUGAGGUCAUGUAUGUAGGUCGCGCCAAGGUCAAGGGCAAGAAAGUGCUGUCUAGUCAUAUCGACGAUCUCGUUGCCCGGUUGGAGGCCAAAGACUCGGUACCUGGUCUGAAAACCAUCGAGACUUCGGACUCAAGACGCAGACACAAGAGCGACUCAAGUAUCAAGAGUCUGCCAACCGUCUUUGAUGAAUGUCUGACAUCGGAGAGUGGUGAUAUGCAGAAAAUGAAAAUAAUACAGGGAGUGGAAUUGCAUUUAGGGAGCAACGAAGAAAUUAAUCGAACAGUAACGUCUGGUGGCGUAGGUGUAGGCUCAGAGCACCACUUCAGCGAUGGGGCACUUAGCUCAACAGAAAAUGUCAACGACGGGCUCAGCCUGUCUAACUCUAGUGACCAGCUUAGGGACAUGUUUCACAGUUUACGCCUCAAUCCAGAUUCCUCUGAUAAUCUAGGUCAAGGUCAGGGUAAUGAUCUCCAUGACAACGAAGGUCAGUCAUUGAACCGCACCAUGCUGUUUCGUAUCGGACAGAGCGAGAUCUCACUGAUCAGCCUUGACAAGAAGCAGACGAUCAUAGAGCGGAAUUUCAAGAAUAUAUCUUCUGUGUCACAGGGCAACGCAAAGCCAGAUGUGUUUGGUUUCAUAUCGCGGGAACCCGGAAGUGUGCUGGUAUGCCAUCUCCUUCGCUGCUGCUCCAAUGUUUUGGUCGAUGAAAUCAUGGCUGACCUGCGGGUGUCAUUCCGUAACGCGUACCAGCAGAGUCGCCAGCAGACCCAGCAGAUCUGCAUCCACUGCCCCCUGCACCAGUACCACAACCUCUGCAAGGACAUCAAUGGCCAGAGCGCAGAGUCAGCAUACAGCCUGCUGUGUAAGAGAAUACAACAACUGCCUGAGAAAGAUGCUGAAGACCUCUACCGGUCGUUACAGAAUGAGAACCCCCAGAGCCACGAGGAGUCUGUAGAGUCCCUCAUGAUCCACAUCCGUAAACUGUGCGAGGUCAAACAGCAAAACCACACCCACAUCUCCGACUCUGCAAAGGGGCCGCACAAAACUGAUUUCUUCCUUGGGGACAUGAAGAGUAAGCCCAACAAGUCGGCCUUUGAGUUCAUCAGGAACAAAGCCCGGAAGACGUUGACAACGUCCUUUGAAUCCUUGCUCACGAAUGUUCACCAUAAGACAGAGGAGGUCAAGGAAGUAUUCCGCCAUCGCAGUGGGACCAAUGAGAAUGAGGGGGGAUCAUUUAGUCGGUCAUUGGAUCACACCUCGCCCGAUGCCUCCCCUGCCCCGUCGCCAGGCCCUCUCACCAAAGACAAGACCAAGUUUGAUUUCUCCAGCCCGCCCCCUUCCCCAGAGCCAGGGCGCCCACGGGCCGCCACAGUCGGUGCAAAGCCUGACCCAGACGUGAUAGAACGGGCCAAGUCAAGACAACUACAGGAGCUACAGGAUCGGAGGAAGUCCAGCGAUAGUCCCAUGAAACAUAUGUUCAUCCUAGCCAACUGCAGUUCGCCCAGCAAGCGCUCCUCCCUGUCGGGCGAGGAUGAUCCCGGGGGCUCUGACCCCCAGCACGGCCCCAGCUCCAACAAGAGGGUGUCCUGGAGACAGGCCAUCUUCAACAGGGUCGUCACACCUUCCAAACAUCCCAGCACGCCCACAUUGGAAGAGGCAGAGGAGGGAGAGGAGAGGGCCAAGAAAACGAAGGAAGAGUUGCGGGCCUUGUGGAGAAAAGCGAUACUGGAGACCCUGCUGUUGAUCCGUAUGGAGCGUGAGAAUAUAGACUUACAAGCUCGCCAAGAUGAGGCGGACUUGAAGAGGCAGAAGUUGGACUAUGUUGAGAUAACUCCGUGUCUGCGAGAGGUCUCCAAGCAGUGGGAUGAAAUGUUGACCUCACCCGGGCGCCCAAAGGUUGUCGUUAGCAAUGAGAAGCUUCUGGACUGUGUCAAACAAGGGGUUCCCCAGGCCAAGCGUGGAGAGAUCUGGUGGCUGCUGGUGGAGCAACAUCGUCUCAAGUUCCCGGCCCUGGAAGCAAAGACCCCCGUUGUGGAAUAUUUUGAACUUCUGAAGCAGCUCACCAAUCAUCAGCAUGCCAUACUCAUUGAUUUAGGGCGCACAUUCCCGGGCCAUCCCUACUUCUCCCUCCAGCUGGGCAGUGGUCAGCUGGCGUUGUUCAACCUGUUGAAGGCCUACAGUCUCAUGGACCAGGACGUGGGGUACUGUCAGGGCCUCAGCUUCGUGGCUGGUAUACUCCUCAUGCACAUGGACGAGCUGCAAGCCUUUGAGGCAUGGAAACAUGUGAUGUACAACCUGGGCAUGAGGAAGCAGUACAGACCCAACAUGAUAGCACUGCAGAUUGAGCUAUACCAGCUGACCCGUCUGCUGCACCAUCACUAUCGUGACCUCUACGAGCAUCUCGAGCAGCACGACAUAGCCCCCACCCUGUACGCUGCACCGUGGUUCCUCACACUCUUUGCUUCUCAGUUCCCUCUUGGGUUUGUGGCUCGAGUCUUUGAUCUGAUAUUCAUUCAGGGGUCAGAGGUGAUAUUCAAGGUGGCCCUGGUGCUGCUAGGUAACCACAAGGAGCUGAUCAUGCAGUGCAACUCGUUUGAAACUAUUGUGGAGUUUAUUAAGACUACCCUACCAGAAAUGGGCAUGAUACAGAUGGAACGAGUCAUCAAUCAGGUGUUUGACCUUGACAUUUCCAAGCAGCUGCAGUCGUACGAGGUGGAAUACCAUGUGCUGAACGAAGUCAUGAUGUUCUCCCCCCCUCAGAAAGGCGACGGCGACCAACUGACAAGGCUGGAACAGACCAACUUGAGUCUCAAGCAGCAGAAUAUGGAACUCAUAGAGAAGCUCCAACACGCACACAGCCAUGAAAGAAGUCUGGAGAUCAUGAUAAAUAAUUUCCAGACACAUGAGGCCAAGUUAAAGUCCCACAUUCGAGCAUUGGAGAUUGAACGGGCUGCGUUACUUAACACGGUUGGAAAGUUGCAACAGUUGGUACCUGAAAAGGAGCGGAUGGGCCUUGAUUUGUGCUUGCCCACUUUGACUCCGAGCAUGCCUGUGUCACCGGUGCAUCAUGGGAAACCUGCUGCUGCAGAGAAUUCUGGGAAGUUGGUAGGGCAUGAUGGGAUUGCUAUUCCACAGGAAGUGAUUCAGACUGCAGACGACAGUGCCAAAAAAGCAGAUUUUCCCAAGUCCGCGCGAUUUAGACCCGAUCGACAGAGUUAGUGCUGGUUUCUUUGUGAAGAUUUUUGUAGGACUUUGUUUUGGUAAUUGUAUUAUUCAAGUAACAUGCAGUGCUGUUUAACAGGUAACUGCAUGUGAGUUUUUGUUUUUGAUUCUCUUUAACGACACUUUUUAUCAACAGAUUAAUACAGCACGUUUGUCUGUUAAAUUGUUUUUUAGAAGAUCAGGAAUAAAAUUAGGUGUCAUAAAAGUCUUGUCUUUCCCCAGAUAUAUAGCUAUAAAGGGUGUCAUUAAUUGAUUUGGUGCUUAAACGUUUGGUAACUUAUAGAAUCAUAAUGUAAGUAUCGACUUAUAAGAAGGAAUUGCUUAAAUUGAUGGUUGAAACUGUAAGUAUUCAUUUUAUCAUUUUAAAAGAAUGUACUCUUAAACCAGUUGAUUCCAAUUCGUUUUGCAACUUUAAGCCAUAGUAAUUUUCUGAAUGUAAUAAGUACACUAUUUUAAGGUAGAUUUUGUUAACACAUGUGUGCUUUAUAAUAACUUUUUAAGUGUUUAAUGUGAUCAAUUUCUGGGUUCGAAUUCAAAAAGCAAAGUGUUCUCUGCUCUAAACACCUUUUAUUUAAUGUGUUCCUUUUACAUUACUCUUUUAAGAUAUAUGACAAACCUGUGUUUAAUAUUUGGUUUAUUGCUUAUUUAUAAUGAUAAAGCUUCAUGAGGAAUGUUACAAAUGUUAAAGAAAUGAAGCUGUAUUUUGCCAAAAAUAUAUUUUGGUAUGUAUAAUUCAAACUAUUGUCACCUUUAUGUAGAUAUAUUAAAUAUAUCCUAUUUUUUUGUGCUUGCCUUUUGAGAUUAAUCUUUUUUUGGCUAUGUUGUGUUAAGGCCGAUGUUGAAUAAUAUCUUUUAGAGUAUAGAUUAAUACAAAAUAUAUAUUUCUCUCAUUCAAAUAUUUGCUAACAAACAAAAUAAAAUUAAGUCCAAUCUUGAAUGCCCCGCAUGCAUUCAUGUAAAUGUUAUGCGUGCGAAACUGAGCAUUAUUGAUAAAUCUUUGCCAUUAUUUGUCUUUCAUUUAAGUAUUUUCAUGUGACUCCUAAAAAGGUGUGUUUGGUAUUAUAUCUUUCCACUGCAAUAUCAGUUUUCUGUCUAAAUACCAAAUUUGUAUGUAAUACUAGAGAAAUACUCAAUAGUGAAGUAAUACAUGAGUGUUUGACUGUGUUGACAUCAGACUCAACAGGUUACUGACACGAGGUAUCAUAUUCAGCAAAUGUAAAGGACUUCUCUGACUGCCUCAUAAUUCAGGAAUGUGAAUCCUAUACUAGAAAUGAAUGUUUUGAAAAAAGAUGCACGCUUUUGAUGUUUUGUAACCAGUAUACCUACUCAUAAAUGUUUAGGAGAUAACUGACUAGAUAAAUACCAUACAUUACAUGUUGCUCAAUUUUGUGCUUUAAUCAUAAACACAGUUUUGAACUUCUAUGGUUAAUUGUGUAAAGACUAUAGCCUAUGUGUAGUCAAGUGUAAAAUUCGAAUGAAAUUUGAAAUUCAAGCUUCGUAUUAGUUUGCUGUGCAAAACUUUGUGCUUAUUUCUUUGUUUAUUGUUGAUGCUCUUAAUCUUGAAGUUGGCAAGGUUUUUAUAGCAGCCUUUGCUCAUUGUUAAGCCCUCAUUGUGAAGCUUUAAGGACGUUAAAGUAAUUCCCUUUAUUCAUUCCCUUUCAUGUCUUAUCCAUGUUUUUGAGGUUUAUUAAGUAUUUUCAAGAAACUUUAUUGAAAUAUCCCAUUUAUUGGUAUAACUGUCAUUUUGAAGGCUUACUUUUGCUUCUUUUUGUGUUUGACAAAUCUUUUAACUAAUCCUACAUGAAUGUUCACAACUUUUUGAACAGCAUUUGAAGAUUGUCAUAAAGAACAACAACCAAAUUUACCUCAUUGAUGCAUUUUAAUAUUGUUAAACAUGACUUUGUCUUCAACGUGUUUAUUCCUUACCAAAUAUUGCAUAAAUUACUGUAUUGUUUUGUUCCAAGUUGUUUUGUGUGUGCUUGAUGAUACAUUGGGACCAAGGACUACAAAAUUACCUACCGAAUAUUGUAUAUUUUGCCAUUUCAAUGCAGGCUUUUAAUAGACAGGUUAUUCAAGUGUCCAUUUUUAUCACAUCACUGUCUUUCAUGUUGUGCUACUGAAAACAUUAACAUUAUUAACAUGAUUAUAUUGAUAUUGUAUGUGCUUGAGUACAGUCCAUAAAUAUUGCCUAAAAAUGAAAAACUGCAGAAACCAAUUUGAUCCUGAUGAAAAACAAACAAAAAACAUCAACAUUGAACUCUGUAAAAAUGAAAACAUUGGUGAAACUUUUUAUCAAACAGCUGACAUGAAAUACUCAGGAGUAAAUUGGUUAAUUGGCAUACACAUUAUUUUAUAUUAUUUCUGUACCAAGUAUUUUUCGAACUUACACAUUUUAAAAUUUCAGUUCUGAAAAUAUGUUUUAUUGAAAUAAACGCUAUUAACAUUUGUUAGAACAAUACCAAUACAUGUAUAUAUGUUGGGAAUUAUAUUGUAUGGACUACUGUGUUUAUAGCUUAUUUUUAAUUAUUAAAUAUCACUUAUACCUUCAUCGGUUGAGAGAUGCUUCCAUGUUAAUUGUAAGACAGAAUUAUAACUGAGAAUCUGUCCCCGAGCUGAAAUCACAGCAUAUAUACCAGCACCAAAAUUUAAGUAUUUCAACGAAUAACAGCUUAAUUGAUUAGUCAAAGCUAGACCUAACCUAAGAUUUUAUAUGCAUAAAAGGACAUAAGCAUGCUCGAUCUCAACUUUAAUAUGCUUAAGUACUUGUACAUUUUGUUUAGACCCUUGUCUCAUGGUUUAUUACUGGUAAUUGUAACCUUUUGAUUAAGUAAGUAGGAUUUAAAGAAAUGUUUUUGUUUAAGACUUCUUUAAUUUGUUUAUAUAAAAAUACAUAUUUUGCAGAGGUCUAAUUGCUGAAGUUGUAAUUAUUAUUUUCAUGGGGUCAGUAAUUUGAUGUCUUUGAUUUUAGAUUUACUAGUGUUCACAAUGCAGAAAUCUUAUUAUGCUUUUAAUGUAGAUUGUUGUAAUAUUUUUACCUUGUUUAUAAUGGUUGGUUGUGUUUCUUAAUUGUGUUAUAUUAUAGGAUACACAAAAUAACAAUGUUGAAACAAUAAUGUUUGCAUGCGAAUAUACAACUGGAGCAUUCUUUUUGUCAUGAGCAUGUAUGUGGUCUACUGGUAAUGCAGGCUUCAUUAUCCAAGGGUUGCAAGAUUGAGCGCUUACCUCUUUCACUGCUGAAACCGAAUUAUGAAGGCCUGUGCAAACAGUUUGGAUCCAGAUGAGACGCCACAGAACGUGGCUUCUCAUCAGGAUCCAAACUGUUUGCUAUUCUGAUAGUAUCCUUUGAAAAGAAUCGAAAAAAAUGCUAAUUUUAGAAAUUCAGCAGAUGACAUUUUAACAGACAUGCAAAGGGUUACUCCAACUCAUCUGACGCUUGUCUUCCUUGUAAGACCAUUUCUGCUAAAAAAUCCCCAAGUGUACUGAAGUCUAAAAUUAGCAAUUCAAAUAUCUUAAUACACCAUUGCAAAAUUAAAGUUCUGUAUAAUUGUAAAAUGUCUUUAUGGCAGGAUUUUUGUUUAGAAUAGACCGCCUUUAAACAAAAAGUAUAUAACUUAAGGCAGGAAGUAUUGUCCCUGAUUAGCCAGUGCGGACUGCACAGGCUAAUCUGUUACAUCACAAUACUCUCAUGCAUUAAGCCCAGUGUGCCCAGAACGAGGCUUAUAUGUUUAGUCUGUACUGAAUAAGAGAGUCUUCCAUAGUCUGGUUAUGGCUAUAAUUGCUGUUCUUCCUCCUGGCUAUAAUUGCUGUCCUUCCUCCUGGCUAUAAUUGCUGUUCUUCCUCCUGGCUAUAAUUGCUGUUCUUCCUCCUGGCUAUAAUUGCUGUUCUUCCUCCUGGCUAUAAUUGCUGUUCAUUCUCCUAUGGCAAUAGAAACAAUAUCGAGGGUUGAAUUCAUAACUGGUGUAUGUGUCACAGUUCAUGACUGGUGUAUGUGUCACAGUUCAUGACUGGUGUAUGUGUCACAGUUCAUGACUGGUGUAUGUGUCACAGUUCAUGACUGGUGUAUGUGUCACAGUUCAUGACUGGUGUAUGUGUACCAGAUCAUGACUGGUGUAUGUGUCACAGUUGUUAUAAGUACAUGCACCAUUUACACAUGUUCAUCCCUGUCAUUGUCUUUAAGAAAGUGAAUCUGGGCCUGUAUUCACCAACCGAUUCUUAGACUUAAGAAUAAAGAAUAGACUUAGAACCAAGAAAAAUGUGUUCAGUGUUUGAAUAUAUACAGGCCUCCACUGGUGAUUAUGUCAUUAAUAACAUGUUCUAUAUGAAGAAUAAUAUAGAUAGAGAUGUUUACUGCAGAGUUUGACUCAAAAUUAAAGAAAUUCUUGAAUAUUCUAAUUUAAAGAAUUUUCUUUAUUCUUAGACUUAAGUCUAAGAAUUGUUUGGUGAAUACGGGCCCUGUUUCGAUCAUAUUUUCUUUACAAACAUAUGUCAAUAAUGUGGCUUAAUAAUAAAUGCAUGUGUGUAAAGUGUUGUUCCCACAUAAAUCCCUGCUGAUGGAGAGGCUAACAGGGAAGACACACACAUGCAUAUUAAAGGGACUGUCAACCACGAAUGACGAAAAAAGAAAAGUUUUAAAAUACCGUAUUUGUUUACAAUUAUUAGUUUAUAUUGAUUAAAAUAUCACGACUGGUAUAUAACAUUUCUUGAAAAAAGUUGUUAAGUUUUCAUAUUUUCAGUAUAUUCGGUAAUAAAUUUUACUGGGUACAGGAACCAGGUAACUACCAGUUAACUAUAAAUAACGCAAGUAGAUUGAUCAUCAUCUUCAAGUGGGCAACUCAGGAAUGGAAAUUGUGCAUGAAUGGUUUAUAUUUUAUAUACAAAAUGAUCAAUCUACUUGCGUUAUUUAUAGUGUGUAUAUCGUUUUGUCACCUAUUUUCGCGAUGUACUUUCGAUUUCACAUCACGAAAUUUAAUUACAGAAUAUAUUGAAAAUAUGAACUUUUUUCAAGUAAUGUAAUAUACCCGUCGUGAUAUUUGAAUCAAUAUAAACUUAUAAUUGUAAAAAUACGGUAUUUUGGAACUUUUCUUUUUUCGUCAUUCGUGGUUAACAAUCCCUUUAACAAAAAAUCUGAAAUAUCCAGCAUAGCAGAUGUUUGUCUCAAAAUUAUCAAACAUGUAUCUUUUAAACAUGAAAAGUUAAUUUGUCAUUGUAAAUGUUCUAAAGAUCUGUUUAAGUCAAGAUUGCAUCAGUAUGUUUAUGUUUUUGUUCUUAUAGUGAUAUGUUUGGUGUCUUUCAUAAGUAUACACGUCCAUUUAUAUUAGAUUUAGACUAUAUAUGUUACUAUAUAGCUCGGUGUUGGAAGUAUACAAGCAUGGCUACCCAUGUAACUGAUAUAACUAUUAUAUUCUGGAGUGAAAAACUAAUUGAAUGUACUUAGAUAUGUGAAACUGAAAUUUGUUGAGGUGACCUUAUGACAUUUGUCAUAUCCUUAUUACCUACCAAAGGCGGAGAGGUCUAAAAUUGGGCUUCUGUCAGUCCGUCUGUCGGUCUCAAAACUUUUAUAUCAACAUGGAACUUCAUGGAUGUAUAAAUAUCAAUGAGGAGAAGUGCCCUGUUUAAGAACCAUAACCAUUCACUUUCUUAUACCCUUUUAUUUUUUUGUAUGAUGUAACUUUUCAUGCCUUUAUCUCAGAUGUGAUACAACAUUUCAGCAUGAAACGUCAUAGGUGUGUAGAAGUCAACGGGAAGAAGUGCUAUGCACACAAACCAUAACCCUGAACUUUCUUUACUAAGAGUUAUUUCCCUUUGUUGUUUUUGUAUGAUGUAACUUUUUAAGGCUAUAUCUAGGAUACGCUACAAGAUUUCAACAUGAAACUUCAUGGGUGUGUAGAUAUCAAUAAGGAGAAUUGCAAUUAAUAAAAACAAUUACCCUACUCUUUAAUUAUUACUCAUUAACUAUAACCCUGCACUUAAUUAUUACUCAUUAACUAUAACCCUGCACUUAAUUAUUCUACUGUACAUCAAGGGAUUUGCACCGAGCCAUAAACAAAGUUUAUUUGGCGGGGGAUAUCAAUUCAACAAAUGUGCUUGUUUUUAUUAAUUGCAAUUAAAUCAGAAUUCUAUUGCUCAUAUGUUAGUGAGAAAGGUACUACUUGUAAAAAGAAAGAUUGGUCGGUAUUUAGGCAGUGUGAACUACAUGUAUUAUGUUUUUCUUCAAUUGUUACAAGAGUAUUAAUUGUUUAAAUGAAGCAUAAUUCUGUAUUGCCUGUAUAUAUCAUUAGUGUUAGACUAUUAUAAUAAUCAUUAAUAAGAGACUAUGAUAUGUCAUGAGUAUUAAACUGUGAGUCAGUAUGGACUGAAAGCCUGUUUCACCAUGUUAUUCUUUGCGAAUAACCUUUAAUAUCAUGUAAAGAGUGCAAUAGAUGUUAUUUUUUUGAUGGACCAUUUCACCAUUAAAAAAAGUUUAAUUUCAUGAGUAUUUUAGAACUUAACACAUUCACAAAUUCUGGUACCAUAUUUUGGGCAUUUGAACAAAGAGAAACACUGUUUGAUGACAUUUAAUAUGUUUUGCAAUGAAAAAUAUAUUAAUGGUUAUUAUCCCCCGCCAUCGGCGGAGGGAUAUUGUUUUGGCUUUGUCCGUCCCUCCUUCCAUCCGUCCGUCCGGAGCCAUAUCUUGGAAGUGCUUAGGCGGAUUUCAUUGAAACUUGGUAGUAGUAUAUAUAUGGAUAACAGGAUGAUGCACGCCUAAUGGCAUUGUACACCCUCUGUUAAUAACGAAGUUAUGGCCCUUUGUAUCUUGAAAUAAUGCUUUUUUGUGUGUCCGGAGCCAUAUCUUGGAAGUGCUUUGGCAGAUUUCAUUGAAACUCGGUAUGAGUAUAUAUAUGGAUAAGAGGAUGAUGCAUGCCAAAUGGCAUUGUACACCAUCUGUUAAUAACGGAGUUAUAGCCCUUUGUAUCUUUAAAAAAUUCUUUUUUUGAGUGUCAAAUAUAAAAAUAUAAAUAUAUAUAUAUACUUUUGUGUCCAGAAGCAUAUUGGCGGGGAUAUCAAUUCAACGAAUUUGCUUGUUUUAUUUGUGAUUUUCUGUAUAAUUAUAUUGCUUCAAUCUGCUUUAUAUUAUAGCAACAUUUUUGGCUUGGUUUUUUAAUAUUAUUUGAAUCUAUGUUUUUUGUAUUAGAAGAUAUGUGACAGCCCUGUUCAUCUUCACUGUGUUUUGAGCAAAAGUAUUUUUGGCCCAUGACUAUGAAUAGUCCACAUUGGAAUUUUAAUCUUUAUUGAAAAUAUUGACCAAUGAAAAUGCUUGUUAAGUCUGAGUAAAACAAUAGCUUAAUGAAUACGUACAGAUUUAGAUAGAGCUAAAGAGAGUGGUUACUUUGAUCAGGCCAGAUUAUUUAAGUUCAUGUUUCAUUUUGAGAUUAAUACCAUAUGAGCCGCGCUCUCUGAAAAACGGGUAAAUUGUAAUUGAGUAAAGUAUUGUCCCAGAUUGGCCUUGCAGUCUGCACAGUAUUGUAAUUGAGUAAAGUAUUGUCCCAGAUUGGCCUUGCAGUCUGCACAGGCUAAUCAGGAAAAACACUUUACAUUUUUGUUGUUUCGUUUGUCUAAAGCCAUCUGUUUUUAGCAAAAAUUCAGUUGAAGCGGAAAGUGUCAUCCCUGAUUAGCCUUUGCAUACUGCACAGGCUACUCAGGGACAACACUUGAUGCUGACCUGUGUUCCCAGUGAGCGAGGCUCCUAUAUUAGUUUCUUAACUUAUUUAAAAGCAAAAUAGCCAUUUUAUUUAGAACAAAGUAUGUCAAGUAAACAAAGAAAUUUUGCUCCUAAACAAUUAUACAAGUAUAACUAUAUUUCUGCUUAUUUUUAUUGUAAAUCAUGUAGCUUUCUAUUGAAAACUUGACAAUUAUUUGUGUUCCUCACUUGUAUCUUACGUUAUGUGGUACCCAUGUUUUUAAGUCAAACUCAUGAAUGCAAAUGCAUCUUCUGAUUGUAAUAAACUAGAAACCAGGAAUGCAACAUGUUUUUAUUUGAAGUGUCAAACGUUUGGACAAAAGCCUUUCAAUAAACCGAUUUUUGUUUUGACCAGAGAUCUGACCGACUGUUUAUUGACAGAUAUUUGCUUGAACGCGUGUUGCAAUUUGUUUUAUCAUUUGUUUACGGUUGUCUAUUUACUUUUGCGCCGAAGUUCAUUCUAUGAACUGAGCGAUUCGUUUUAUCAGGAAAAUACAUGAACAAACAUUAAAUUUCGGAAAAGGUAAUGUCAGAAAUCACAAAGAGCUACCAAUAAAUGUUCUUGAAUAUUGUCACUAAUUAUAGUAUGUGUUGAAGCAGCUUUGUGCGCUCUAUGCAUCACUUUGGGAAAACGGGGCAUAAUUCAUGUGCGUAAAAAAAACGGGGCAUAAUUCAUGUGCCUAAAAAAACGGGUCAUAAUUCAUGUGCGUAAAGUAACGGGGCAUAAUUCAUGUGCGUAAAGUAACGGGGCGUAAUUCAUGUGCGUAAACUAACAGGGCAUAAUUCGUGUGCGUAAAGUAACGGGGCAUAAUUCAUGUGCGUAAAGUAACGGUGCAUAAUUCAUGUGCGUAAAGUAACGGGGCAUAAUUCAUGUGCGUAAAGUAACGGGGCAUAAUUCGUGUGCGUAAAGUAACGGGGCAAAAUUCAUGUGUGUAAAGUAACGGGGCGUAAUUCAUGUGCGUAAACUAACAGGGCAUAAUUCAUGUGCGUAAAGUAACGGGGCAUAAUUCAUGUGCGUAAAGUAACGGUGCAUAAUUCAUGUGCGUAAAGUAUCGGGGCAUAAUUCAUGUGCGUAAAGUAACGGGGCAUAAUUCGUGUGCGUAAAGUAACGGGGCAAAAUUCAUGUGUGUAAAGUAACAGGGCAUAAUUCAUGUGCGUACAUUAACAGGUCAUAAUUAAUGUGCGUAAAGUAACGGGUCAUAAUUCAUGUGCAUACAGUAACAGGGCAUAAUUCAUGUGCGUAAAGUAACGGGUCAUAAUUCAUGUGCGUAAAGUAACGGAUCAUAAUUCAUGUGCGUAAAGUAACGGGUCAUAAUUCAUGUGCAUAAAGUAACGGGGCAUAAUUCAUGUGCGUAAAGUAACGGGUCAUAUUUCAUGUGCGUAAAGUAACGGGUCAUCAUUCAUGUGCGUAAAGUAACUGGGCAUAAUUCAUGGGUACGAGCGGUAUACGGACCAUGGACCAUACGGCCCAGACUAUACGGCCCAGAUUAGCGGACCAUACGGCCCAGAUUAUCGGACAAUACGGCCUAGAUUUGCGGACCAUACGGCCCACAUGUUUCUUUACGUCAUGUACAUUAUUCUAAAACACGAAUACACUACAAUUCUGUGCUACCAUUGUACUAUGAAUGUGUUAAAAAUAAAUACAUGCUAGUAUGUGUUUCGCUUUUGAAAAUAAAUAACACCGGAAAUGAAA
Molecule: RNA transcript, 14010 nt
Organism: Dreissena polymorpha
Lineage: Eukaryota; Metazoa; Mollusca; Bivalvia; Myida; Dreissenidae
Gene name: TBC1 domain family member 1-like
Exons: 18
Source: RefSeq, a predicted model, not a curated record